CCUCUGAAUUUUUUUAUUUGUACCAAAUCUUAAUAAUUUGAUAUGUGUAAAUGUUAUGUCUUGGUCUAAACGCCAGUUGCAUGUUGAUAUAUAGCAGCGUUGUUUAUUUUAUACAUUUGAUUUCUCUUGUCAUUUCAAAUUUUCUAUACUGAGUCCACCAUCUUCCCAGCGUCAGUGAAAACCUACAGAGCUUUUAUAAUGUUCUGUGCCAAUUUUAUUUUAGAAUUAUACUUCCUUUCAUGUUUGAUGUUCGAUGCUUAAUUAGCAUCUACUGCUCAUGAUUUGGACCUAAUCGCUCUAUUGUUUACCAUCUCCUUCAUAUAUGCGCGCAUCGCUGUCCUCGCCUGUUUGUCCUUCCACCUCAGUCCAACCACUACUAUGCUCUGCUUGUAGGCUACCAUGGAGAAAUUGCACCGGUCAGUUGAUCAUCGAGUUUGGUUCGCCGUUUCAUCUGCUCAGUGUGUUGUCUCUGCAGUCCAGUGAGGAAUUGAGUGUUGUCUUCAUGACUAAUGGUGAAGCAGUGACAUUCAAAGUUUCACAGCCAUCUGUGAAAGCAUCAAUGGCAACCACUGAGUGUUCAACUAAAUCUGCAAGUUUCAACAGGCUUUACAGGGCAUAACCUACAAACAUGUGCACUCCCUUCUUCUUUGCCUGAAUAAUGUCGUACCAAGAGAGAGGCGUUUUGGGGCAGCAGUAUUGAAGAUUAUAUUUUUUUAUGAACACAGGUGGAUUAAUUUUUUUAUGUGUCAUUUCCGUGCCUAAAUUAUCCGCUGCCACCAAAUAGAUUGCAUAGCAAUAUAUUCUAUGUAGUCUUGGUACUGGGUUGUAUAUAUGCUCUAUAUAGGCAAUUAUUAAUCCAGAUACACCCUUGGUCAUCUGAAAGCUCACUCUGCCCCCUACGUCUGCUUGUGUUCAUAUUGUUGUACUUAGUUUUAUGCAAUAACACAACAUAGUACAAACAGGGAAGUGAAAAGGGCGCAUCCCACCUGACACUGCUUAGCUUCCUCUCAGGAGGCGCUACCGGGUGGCGCCCCAAGAACUAAAGAACUGGAUGCUAAGGGUAAAUGGCUUGCAGCAAUCUGAUUGGUAAAAAUAAAUAACUUUAAUUUAGUAACUGGACCUUGUGCAUACUGUAUGUUUCAUACAAAAAGUAAGUGAGAAUUAUGCAGUCCUAAGUAUAAGAAAGCAAGGUUGGUCUACAAGUCGUAUGGAGACAGAGGGUGUACCCUUAACAGUGAGAGAGAAAAUAGUAACAUUAGAAACAAUACAGAGGAGCUAGGCCAUACCAUAGCCCUCUCCAUGAUGUAUGCAUACUCCCCUGAGCAUCCAGGAAAAGUAGAACUCAGGUCCUUUUUCUCUGAAUAUAUGAAACUGAAGUCUAAACAUUUAGGCUUUCUCAAUGUUGGCCUGGGGGUGUUGGGGGUUUGGCAUCGUCCUCGAAGUGAAGGCGCAGCGACCUUGACUCCUUGAGUCGAUCGCAACCUCAAGUGCUUUGCCAUAUACUCAUCUUGAUUAGUUGUUCCCCUACUUGUAAUGACAUCUUCUGUUCUCAACUAAUGGUUCUGAGUCAUUAACAUAUGAUAAUUUCAUAUGAUUCAGUCAGCAAAAUCGAUUUUGCCUACUGAACUAUGCUAAUGAUGGCAUACAUGACCCAGUGUACCAGACACAUGCCAAUGUGCAUAAUAACCAAGCUGAGAUUAGGGACCCAACCAGUCACCUUAAUGUGCAUAGAAAAGAUUGAAGGGCGCUGCCGUAGGAGGAAAUCGACCCGAGGUCAGCCUCCCUCCCCUGUAUGUUCUUGCCUGUGCAUUUACAUGUGACUUCCUUUGGUGGUGCGCAGCUGCUGGUGGGCCGAGCGCGAUGUGCUGACUCUGCCCCGAUGCUCAGGGACUGGACCAGUAGUGCUUGCAUGGCAUGGCUAGCAUGGAAAAUGAGGUGUCAUUUUAUGUCAUCAUCUUAUUUUAUUUUUCUGUCUUGCUCAGUAAAGCUUGCUUUUGUUAAUUAGGCCAAAGCUUCCAUCCCCUUUAUAGAAGAAAACAAAUAACUUGAGAAUGAAUGUGUGUGAACCCGUGUCAAAAUGCAUAAGACGCAUCGAGGCGCUCCAGCAAUACAAGUGCGCACACAGGUUCAAAACAUGCCUGGAACCUUUAUGAUAUCUUUACUUAACACAUUAACUGGACUGUUAUUUCACAGAUAGCAAACUAUUUGUUUUCUUUGUUAUUCUUGUAAGAUAUUAUUUUCUUUGCUAUGCAUUCCUCAUGAUUAUUUUGUCUUCAAUAAAUCCAGCGCUAGGUUCUUCAAACUACAGCGUUCCUGAAUAGUACAGUAUGUGCAUCACUUCCCUUAGAGUCCUUUGUUCUUAACAAAUCUUACAUAUAUUUUCUGAUCUCAUUUAUGAGGAAUUUUUAAUAUACGGACACAUUUCUUACCGAGGAUGUUCUAAAAUCAAAUUGUCACGGACGAUCAUUCUCAUACUACUUUGAGGUUCACUACACAGAGAAGUACCUCCAGGAGUGCAUUAACCUAGAACAUGAUGCAUUGCCAAUCAAGCUUGCAGACGGCAAGGUCUCCGUCAUGUCUCGCCAUCACAGGAAAUGACAAGAGGACCACCAUCACAACGAACUGGUCAGUUCCGUCAUCACAAACAUACAUGAGGGUGACAUCUGGGCCUUCUACUUCAGACGCAAGAUAAGGCGUAUCGUCAACGAUCGCGCCUAUCGCUUAUAAAUAUAAUCCAUGUAUAUCGUGCUCUUGUAUAUUGAACCUUCUACCUCUGUCCCUUGCUUUACUUCUGAUCAUCUAGACAUCAACAUGGUACCUAUGUGUUCGUAUGUGUUCAUCACCGUCAUUAAUAUCCUCCCUUUCGCUCCUA
Triticum aestivum (bread wheat) is the source of this 2872-nucleotide long non-coding RNA. RefSeq lists it as uncharacterized. The record is from RefSeq and is a predicted model, not a curated record. NCBI's taxonomy places the organism in Eukaryota, Viridiplantae, Streptophyta, Magnoliopsida, Poales, Poaceae. The transcript is spliced from 3 exons.